Capsella rubella is the source of this 970-nucleotide long non-coding RNA. RefSeq lists it as uncharacterized. The record is from RefSeq and is a predicted model, not a curated record. NCBI's taxonomy places the organism in Eukaryota, Viridiplantae, Streptophyta, Magnoliopsida, Brassicales, Brassicaceae. The transcript is spliced from 3 exons.
GUUGCGUCUUGGUUUGGUUGUAUUCUAUUAUUUGACAGCUUCUCUCUUCUUCCUCUUCCCCUUCUCUCUUUUCUUCUAGACUUGUACGAAUAAAUAAUAGCAAUUCGCAUCAUCUCCGAUCAUCUUCACCGUUUCUCAGAUGAAACCUAUUGGAAACGCGAUCCCAGUCAAUCUCUAAGGAGGAGGGGUUUCUUAUUUGUAUCUCCAGGUAACAGAUUUUGCAUAUUCCUGCUAUCUAUCUUUACAACAUGAAUACCUUCAGAAUCUUCAAGCUCGUAGGGGCUGCUGGUGUAGAAGAAUCUCAUAUAUUCUCAAGUUUGCGAUGGAUUCGAUUCAGUAAUCUAACAUCCUAGAUCGGAGAUUAAUGGAAUCGGCUGCAAUUAGCCAGCCUUGUUGGGUAUAGUCAUCUCUUGGAGGUAAAAAAACUCAGCAACAUUUACAUGGUCAAUCAUAGUCACAGGUUACACUCUCUAAACAACAUACUUGUGCUUACAACCAAAAAAUCCUAGGCGUUCCAAAUCCCUAACAACUUAAUUUUUUUCUUACAUUUUAGUGACAACAAUUUAGAGGAAGGCUCCCUUCCUCUUCUUAGCAAUCUCUUACGAGCACAACUGUUUCUUCUUAAAUCCAGAGUCCUUGACGACCAAAUCCUGAGUAUAUCAGACAGACAGACAGACAGAGUAUUUCUCUCAUCCCUGUGGCAUUGGAUGAUCAUGCGAAUAUGGUGGAUCUCCAUCUGAUGAGUUACAAGCAGAUAAAUCAAUUAUAUAGAUUCAAGAAGAAUGACCCAUAUUUCAACCUAUUCAUGUAUUUACAGGUUCCAAAACUAUUUCAGCUGAGAAAGUCUCUUCUUAUUAUUUCUAGCAUUAAGUUGGAAAUGAUUAUUGAGAUAUUAUCAUCAGGGCACAAAAAUUCAAUGGUUAUUAUUCUGAGGUUGCAAACGAAACGUAGCCUGCUUUUGUUAUGAUUA